Molecule: non-coding RNA, 1699 nt
Organism: Vicugna pacos (alpaca)
Lineage: Eukaryota; Metazoa; Chordata; Mammalia; Artiodactyla; Camelidae
Source: RefSeq, a predicted model, not a curated record
GACAGUGCUGGGAGGAGAGCAGCCGCCCGGCCUACGGGUCCUGCCGGUUUUUUUAUGGGGCUUCCUGCUUCAGUCAAAAGAUACGGAAGAGUGCUGGAGCCGGAAAUGAGUGGAGGAUGGAGGUGCCUGGUUUAAGGUGGGAAACACUGAAGCAGGAUGAAGUUCCAGGGAUGUACAGGUUCAUGCAGCGGAGCUCAGACAUCCACGAGGCUCUGCCAUCCAGUCCCUCUUCCCCCUCCCCUGUUAUGUGGCACAGGGAGAAGGCGUGAGGAUGGCUGUGUAAGCAGCGCCUUUGCCAGGUGAAUUCCAUUGACAAGUAGGUCUAUUUGUACUGGAAGCCUGAAAACAUUCCCCCCUCCUUGUACUGAAGAUUAGAGGGACUGUCUAAGCACCAUGGUAAGUGCGAGACUGGAGUUAACAACUUGCUGGUCUUGUUACUGACAAGGAAGACCAUCAAGAAGAAGUAAAGAUGUUGAAUACUUCUUCAUAUACUUGUUGGCCAUUUGUAUGUCUUUUUUGGAGAAAUGUCUAUCAAGUCCUUAGCCCAUUUUAAAAAUCAGGUUAUUAGUUUUUUUUUCCUGCUCUUGAGUUGUAGGAGUUACAUAUUUUAGAGAUUAACCCCUCAUCAAAUAUAUGGUUCUCAAAUAUUUUCUCUCAUUCCAUAGACUGCCUUUUCACUCUGUCGAUUGUUUCCUUUAUGCAAAAAUGCUCAACGUCACUCAUCAUCAAGGAAAUACAAAUCAAAACCACAAUGAGAUAUUACCUCACACAUGUCAGGAUAGCUAUUAUUAAGAAACCAAAAGAUGUGUGCCCACCCAGGGGUGCCAAGAAAAAAAAAAAGAAAGAAAGAAACCAAAAUACAACAAGUGUUGGUGAGGGUGUGGAGAAAUUGGAACAUCUGUGCAUGGUUGGUGGGAAAGCAAGAUGGUGCAGCUGCUGUGGAAAACAGUAUGGAAGUUCCUCAAAAAAUUAAAAAUAAAACUAUGAUAAAAUCUUGUAAUCCCACCCUCUGGGUAUUUACCUGAAAGAAGUCAAGUCAGGAUCUUGAAGAGAUAUUAGUGCUCCCAUGUUCAAUACAGCACUGUCCACAAUAGCCAAAGACAUUUAGGAAAGAACUUAAAUGUCCACUGAGAGAUGACUGGAUAAAGACAAUGUAUGUAUACACACACACACACACACACACAUAUAUACACACAAAAGAAUACCAUAAAAAAAGAUGGAAUUCUGCAGUAUGCCACCUCAUGGAUGAACCUUGAAGAUAUUAUGCUGAGUGAAAUAAACCAGUCACAAAAAGACAAAUACUGCAUGAUUUCACUUAUAUGUGGUGUCUAAAACAGCCAUAUUAAUAGAAUCAGAGUGGAAUGGUGGCUGUCAGGGGUUGGGAGGUGGGGAAUGGGGGGUUAUUAAUCAAUGGACACAAAGUUUCAGUUAAGCAAGAUGAGUAAGUUCUAGAGGUCUGCUGUACAACAUUGAACCUAUAGCCAGCAAUACUGUAUUGUACAUUGGAAAAUUUGUUAAGAAGAUUAACAAUUUAAUUUGUUAAGAUCUCAUGUUAAAUGUUCUUACCAAAAAUAAAAAAUAAAAAUAAAUUAAAUAAGAGAAAAUAAAGAAGGGAUCCCAAGAGACAAACUUGGACAACUAGAGAACUGUGGAAGUUUGUAAAUGUGCAAACCAAAUCUUUUUAUGGUCUAGCAUUCGU